Long non-coding RNA from Triplophysa dalaica, 370 nucleotides. RefSeq lists it as uncharacterized. The transcript has 3 exons. Lineage: Eukaryota; Metazoa; Chordata; Actinopteri; Cypriniformes; Nemacheilidae. The record is from RefSeq and is a predicted model, not a curated record.
CAUCCAUGUACAUCCACAUGCUUACGCAAACGUGGCAGAGGUUGUCUUACCUUCUCUGCGUUCUGUGCCGGUCUGCAAACAAAACAAACGAAAAAGUCAGUCAAAACCAUGUGAGGAAGCUAAGGGAGUAUCUGUGUUUUUGUAACCACGAUGUUGUGUGUUACCUGUGGGACUGGGGCUGGGAGUCGGCGAAUCUCGGAUGUGUCCGUCCAGCUCUGGAGAAAACACUCCACUGUGUUGUCAUGUAGGAGAAGCCUCUGCCCUCCCCGAGGACCCUGUUCGACCUCCUCUGCUUCCUCCACCAAGCGGUUCUUGUUCUCGUCCGGACUGCAGCUGGGCUCGGAGUCGUUCAGAAGCUCCGGGUUUGUUA